AACAAAUGGCCAUUGAGACCAAUUCUUUUGAUUGAGCUUGCCUAAAUAUCAUUGUCUAACAUGUUUUGUUUUGUAGGUGGCUUGGCUCACAUGCCUUAAGCCUUGUGCCUUGCACAUUCACUUGCUUGUGUUGACUGGUUGAUGUCUAUUUCUUUUUACUUUGUUUGAAGUUGCAUACUAACAUCUGCUUGACUGUUUCAGGUGCUUUAGUUGCUUAGUUCCUUGUGAACUUUUUGCUUUGCUUUGCUUGUAUAAGCAAUUUGCAUUGAGGUAUGUCUCUUCUUCUUCAUGUAGUCUGGAAGACCUGGCCUGUUACUUGGCCAGGCAACUGUCUGAAGUCCUCCUUAAG
This 349-nucleotide long non-coding RNA is filed under the name Lathyrus oleraceus (garden pea). RNAcentral's name for it is "Pisum sativum (pea) long non-coding RNA (PSAT_LNC042147)". The record is from RNAcentral. Lineage: Eukaryota; Viridiplantae; Streptophyta; Magnoliopsida; Fabales; Fabaceae.